GAAAGAGGUGGCAUCGGCAGUUCAAGACUGAUUUUUCUAUCUCUUCAGUGCCUCUUUCAACAAUAUGAAGUUCAAACCAGGUUUUGUGCAAAUAUCUGCUGAGUAAACUACUUAUUUGAAAAGACAUCAUUGGUUAAUAUUCCCUUUUGCUCAUUGAAAUCUCAAAGACUAGAGACCCAGCACAAGACAUUCUGACAUUCCCGUCUUUGAAAUGAAUGACAACGAUGGUAAAUGUGGCUCACCUCCAGAGAUACAGAUCUCACAAUUUCAUAUUUUUAAUAUACAUUAUUAAUCCGAGGUGUGGUGCAAUUCCGUUAGAUGAAAGAGAUCUACACAUUCAGAAGCACAUGAUUCUUCCCCCUUCCAUGAUUCCAGUGGCCAAUAGGUAAUCAGAACUGCUCUGUUCAGCUAAAAGACAGAAAAAGAGCAUAUGAAAGACGUAUUUUCCUGGAAGUGCUCAUCCUGAUAACUGUGUACACCACUACUGCUCACAUUCCACUGGCCAAUAUUUAGGUAGAUAACUUCACUAACUACAAGGUAUGCUGGGAAAUAAGGUCCAGAUAUGUGUGA
Molecule: long non-coding RNA, 570 nt
Filed under: Pongo abelii (Sumatran orangutan)
Lineage: Eukaryota; Metazoa; Chordata; Mammalia; Primates; Hominidae
Description: lincRNA
Source: RNAcentral